CCAAUAGCGUAUAUUAAAGUUGUUGCAGUUAAAAAGCUCGUAGUUGAAUUUCGGGGUUAGUAGGUUGGUCAUGCCUCUGGUAUGUACUGGUCUCACUGAUUCCUCCUUCCUGAUGAGCCGUAAUGCCAUUAAUUUGGUGUUGCGGGGAAUUUGGACUGUUACUUUGAAAAAAUUAGAGUGUUUAAAGCAAGCUAACGCUUGAAUACAUUAGCAUGGAAUAAUGAAAUAGGACGUUCGAUCCUAUUUUGUUGGUUUCUAGGAUUGACGUAAUGAUUAAUAGGGAUAGUUGGGGGCAUUAGUAUUCAAUUGUCAGAGGUGAAAUUCUUGGAUUUAUUGAAGACUAACUACUGCGAAAGCAUUUGCCAAGGAUGUUUUCAUUAAUCAAGAACGAAAGUUAGGGGAUCGAAGACGAUCAGAUACCGUCGUAGUCUUAACCAUAAACUAUGCCGACUAGGGAUCGGAUGAUGUUAAUUUUUUAAUGACCCAUUCGGCGCCUUACG
Molecule: ribosomal RNA, 500 nt
Filed under: uncultured Glomeromycotina
Lineage: Eukaryota; Fungi; Glomeromycota
Description: partial small subunit ribosomal RNA
Rfam family: Eukaryotic small subunit ribosomal RNA
Source: RNAcentral